RNAcentral lists this ribosomal RNA (497 nucleotides) under uncultured bacterium. RNAcentral describes it as "partial 16S ribosomal RNA". It matches the Rfam family "Bacterial small subunit ribosomal RNA", at positions 28 to 507 of the family's 1533-position model. The record is from RNAcentral.
GAUGAACGCUGGCGGCGUGCCUAAUACAUGCAAGUCGAGCGAACAGACGAGGAGCUUGCUCCUCUGACGUUAGCGGCGGACGGGUGAGUAACACGUGGAUAACCUACCUAUCAGACUGGUAUAACUUCGGGAAACCGGAGCUAAUACCGGAUAAUAUAUUGAACCGCAUGGUUCAAUAGUGAAAGACGGUUUUGCUGUCACUUAUAGAUGGAUCCGCGCCGCAUUAGCUAGUUGGUAAGGUAACGGCUUACCAAGGCAACGAUGCGUAGCCGACCUGAGAGGGUGAUCGGCCACACUGGAACUGAGACACGGUCCAGACUACUACGAGAGGCAGCAGUAGGGAAUCUUCCGCAAUGGGCGAAAGCCUGACGGAGCAACGCCGCGUGAGUGAUGAAGGUCUUCGGAUCGUAAAACUCUGUUAUUAGGGAAGAACAAAUGUGUAAGUAACUAUGCACGUAUUGACGGUACCUAAUCAGAAAGCCACGGCUAACUACGUG